This 482-nucleotide ribosomal RNA is filed under the name uncultured bacterium. RNAcentral describes it as "partial 16S ribosomal RNA". It matches the Rfam family "Bacterial small subunit ribosomal RNA", at positions 28 to 507 of the family's 1533-position model. The record is from RNAcentral.
GACGAACGCUGGCGGCGUGCUUAACACAUGCAAGUCGAACGAUGAAGAAGAGAAACGCGAACUUCGGUUCAAAUUUCACUUCGGAUUAGUGUCAGACGGGUGAGUAACGCGUGAGCAACCUACCUCUUACAAAGGGAUAGCCUCGGGAAACCGUGAUUAAUACCAUAUGACACAUUCAUAAGGCAUCUUAAGAAUGUUAAAGCUACGGCGGUAAGAGAUGGGCUCGCGUCCCAUUAGCUAGUUGGUGAGGUAACGGCCCACCAAGGCGACGAUGGGUAACCGGCCAGAGAGGGAGAACGGUCACAUUGGAACUGAGACACGGUCCAAACUCCUACGGGAGGCAGCAGUGGGGAAUAUUGCACAAUGGAGGGAGCUCUGAUGCAGCGACGCCGCGUGAGCGAUGAAGGAAUUCGUGUCGUAAAGCUCUGUUCUAUGGGAAGAAAAGGACUGUACCAUAGGAGAAAGCCCCGGCUAAAUACGUG